Molecule: ribosomal RNA, 254 nt
Filed under: uncultured bacterium
Lineage: Bacteria
Description: partial 16S ribosomal RNA
Rfam family: Bacterial small subunit ribosomal RNA
Source: RNAcentral
UACGUAGGGCGCAAGCGUUGUCCGGAAUUAUUGGGCGUAAAGAGCUCGUAGGCGGUCUGUUACGUCCGCUGUGAAAACCCAGGGCUUAACCCUGGGCUUGCAGUGGAUACGGGUAGACUAGAGGCAGGUAGGGGAGAAUGGAAUUCCCGGUGUAGAGGUGAAAUUCGUAGAUAUCGGGAGGAACACCAGUGGCGAAGGCGGCCACCUGGACGAACACUGACGCUGAGACUCGAAAGCGUGGGGAGCAAACAGGG